Long non-coding RNA from Ceratina calcarata, 221 nucleotides. RefSeq lists it as uncharacterized. The transcript is spliced from 3 exons. Lineage: Eukaryota; Metazoa; Arthropoda; Insecta; Hymenoptera; Apidae. The record is from RefSeq and is a predicted model, not a curated record.
CCUGUUCGCCGCGCUCAAGGCCUGCGCCCGUUCCGAAACGAACAUAAUUAGAAUCUCUAACAAUAAUCAACAAACGCGCUACUAAUUACCGCAAGAGAAAUUAGCGAGGAACCAGUCCAGCUUGACACCCUCCAUCCUGCUGAUUCCUUACUCGAUCGUCUCGAUGAAUCGCUCGCUAGUAGCGAAUCGUUUCUGGGACAGUCGAUAUCCGGUUUUAUCAU